Molecule: ribosomal RNA, 318 nt
Filed under: uncultured bacterium
Lineage: Bacteria
Description: partial 16S ribosomal RNA
Rfam family: Bacterial small subunit ribosomal RNA
Source: RNAcentral
GAUGAACGCUAGCGGCAGGCUUAACACAUGCAAGUCGAGGGGCAGCGGGGAGGAAGCUUGCUUUCUCCGCCGGCGACCGGCGCACGGGUGAGUAACACGUAUGCAACCUGCCCCCGCCAGGGGUACAACCCUCCGAAAGGGGGGCUGAUACCGCGUACAUCCCCCGGGGGCAUCCCCGGGGGAGGAAAGCCCUACGGGGCGGGCGGGGAUGGGCAUGCGGCGCAUUAGGAAGACGGCGGUGUGACGGACCACCGUUCCGACGAUGCGUAGGGGUUCUGAGAGGAAGGCCCCCCACACUGGUACUGAGACACGGACCAG